This 76-nucleotide small nuclear RNA is filed under the name Homo sapiens (human). RNAcentral's name for it is "partial ncRNA". The record is from RNAcentral. Lineage: Eukaryota; Metazoa; Chordata; Mammalia; Primates; Hominidae.
AAAUCACUUGAACCCCAGAGAUGGAGGCUGUAGUGAGCAGAGAUCAUGCCACUUCACUCCAGCCUGGGUGACAGAG